Molecule: non-coding RNA, 550 nt
Organism: Macaca mulatta (Rhesus monkey)
Lineage: Eukaryota; Metazoa; Chordata; Mammalia; Primates; Cercopithecidae
Source: RefSeq, a predicted model, not a curated record
AAUCAUUCUUUCAAAAUGAUUAACAGAUGCUAAAGGAAAAAGGGAAAGUGGGCAGUAAACCAGGGACUCAUUGCUUCACUUGUGGGGCAAUCGAUUACUACUUCAAAUUAUGAGUGAAGACCCAAAUCCUGCACAAAGGGCAGCAACACAACCCCGUCACUGUUGCUACUAUUUCCAUCCAGUUGGUCUCUGGAUCUCGGAGGUGGUGGGCCAGAAUCUGAGCCCGGCUCUACCUCCGUGAACUUUACACAGAGGCUGACACCCAAAUCCCCAGUUCUCGGACAAGCGAGUAAGUAGUUGGCGGAGCAAAGAACAACUCCAGGUGCCUUCUGCCAGAACAGAUGCCAGCGUGGAGGAGGUGCUUUGUUAAAUGGCACUUCAAUCAGCCGUGGGGAGAACGGGUUACAGAGCCUCACAUCCAGCCUCGACGAUUCAACAGCCCGGGAGGGCAAAGGCACUUAUUGGGCAGCUGCCAUGUACCAGACCCUGGACUAGAGACCAGAGAUUUAAAAUAAGAAAUGAAAUAAAAUAAAAGACUCCCCCCGCACCA